RNAcentral lists this ribosomal RNA (499 nucleotides) under uncultured bacterium. RNAcentral's name for it is "bacterial SSU rRNA". It matches the Rfam family "Bacterial small subunit ribosomal RNA", at positions 25 to 518 of the family's 1533-position model. The record is from RNAcentral.
CAGGAUGAACGCUAGCGGCAGGCUUAACACAUGCAAGUCGAGGGGCAUCGGGAGUAGCAAUACUUGCCGGCGACCGGCGCAAGGGUGCGUAACGCGUGAGCAACAUGCCCGUAUCAGGGGGAUAAUCCAUGGAAACGUGGUCUAAUACCCCAUAGUAAUUAUGUAAGGCAUCUUAUAUAAUUUAAAGCUUUGGUGGAUACGGAUUGGCUCGCGUGACAUUAGCUAGAUGGUAAGGUAACGGCUUACCAUGGCUACGAUGUCUAGGGGUUCUGAGAGGAAGGUCCCCCACACUGGAACUGAGACACGGUCCAGACUCCUACGGGAGGCAGCAGUGAGGAGUAUUGGACAAUGGAUGGAAAUCUGAUCCAGCCAUGCCGCGUGCAGGAAAGACGGCCCUAUGGGUUGUAAACUGCUUUUGUAUGGGAGCAAUAAGGGCUACGCGUAGUCCGAUGAGAGUACCAUACGAAUAAGCACCGGCUAACUCCGUGCCAGCCGCUGC